AAACUUUCAACAACGGAUCUCUUGGUUCUGGCAUCGAUGAAGAACGCAGCGAAAUGCGAUAAGUAAUGUGAAUUGCAGAAUUCAGUGAAUCAUCGAAUCUUUGAACGCACAUUGCGCCCGUCAGUAUUCUGGCGGGCAUGCCUGUUCGAGCGUCAUUACGCCCCUCA
Molecule: ribosomal RNA, 167 nt
Filed under: Metarhizium indigoticum
Lineage: Eukaryota; Fungi; Ascomycota; Sordariomycetes; Hypocreales; Clavicipitaceae
Description: 5.8S ribosomal RNA
Rfam family: 5.8S ribosomal RNA
About the family: 5.8S ribosomal RNA (5.8S rRNA) is a component of the large subunit of the eukaryotic ribosome. It is transcribed by RNA polymerase I as part of the 45S precursor that also contains 18S and 28S rRNA. Functionally, it is thought that 5.8S rRNA may be involved in ribosome translocation.
Source: RNAcentral